GUUUCCAUAGUGUAGUGGUUAUCAUUUAAGCCUUUACACCCCAAAAGGUCCCCAGUUCGAAACUGGGUGGAAACA
This 75-nucleotide transfer RNA is filed under the name Alosa alosa (allis shad). Its description in RNAcentral is "tRNA-Leu". It matches the Rfam family "tRNA". From Rfam's summary of the family: Transfer RNA (tRNA) molecules are approximately 80 nucleotides in length. Lineage: Eukaryota; Metazoa; Chordata; Actinopteri; Clupeiformes; Clupeidae. The record is from RNAcentral.